Molecule: ribosomal RNA, 299 nt
Filed under: uncultured bacterium
Lineage: Bacteria
Description: partial 16S ribosomal RNA
Rfam family: Bacterial small subunit ribosomal RNA
Source: RNAcentral
AGCUCCUACGGGGGGCAGCAGUAGGGAAUCUUCCACAAUGGGCGAAAGCCUGAUGGAGCAACGCCGCGUGGGUGAAGAAGGUCUUCGGAUCGUAAAACCCUGUUGUUAGAGAAGAAAGUGCGUGAGAGUAACUGUUCACGUUUCGACGGUAUCUAACCAGAAAGCCACGGCUAACUACGUGCCAGCAGCCGCGGUAAUACGUAGGUGGCAAGCGUUAUCCGGAUUUAUUGGGCGUAAAGGGAACGCAGGCGGUCUUUUAAGUCUGAUGUGAAAGACUGAAGCUUAACUUCAGUAAGCCA